UACGGGGGGGGCAAGCGUUGUUCAGAAUUACUGGGCGUAAAGGGCUCGUAGGUGGCCAACUAAGUCAGACGUGAAAUCCCUCGGCUUAACCGGGGAACUGCGUCUGAUACUGGAUGGCUUGAGUUUGGGAGAGGGACGCGGAAUUCCAGGUGUAGCGGUGAAAUGCGUAGAUAUCUGGAGGAACACCGGUGGCGAAGGCGGCGUCCUGGACCAACACUGACACUGAGGAGCGAAAGCCAGGGGAGCAAACGGG
RNAcentral lists this ribosomal RNA (253 nucleotides) under uncultured bacterium. Its description in RNAcentral is "partial 16S ribosomal RNA". It matches the Rfam family "Bacterial small subunit ribosomal RNA", at positions 524 to 776 of the family's 1533-position model. The record is from RNAcentral.